RNAcentral lists this ribosomal RNA (2133 nucleotides) under seawater metagenome. RNAcentral's name for it is "bacterial LSU rRNA". It matches the Rfam family "Archaeal large subunit ribosomal RNA", at positions 391 to 2508 of the family's 2987-position model. The record is from RNAcentral.
UCCUAUUCAUACCCGAGUAGUUGUCCUUGGUAGUGGGCAAUGAAUAUGGGUGAAAGUAGCAUCCGAGGCUAAAUAUUUCUCAAGACCGAUAGUGGACUAGUACCGUGAGGGAAAGCUGAAAAGUACCCCGGAAGGGGGGCGAAAAGUGCAUGAAACCUAUUACUUACAGACGUGCGUGGCAUGAAAGGUGAUUUUUUCAGAUUAGAGAUUCUAGCAAUAGAGUUGAAGAUUUGAUGUUCAAAUCAUCAGUGUCGCGCGUUCCGUCUCGAAACACGGGCCAAGGAGCUAACCGUCAUGGCAAGCUUAAACCUGCAAAGGUGCAGGCGAAGGGAAACCGAGCUCUCGCAGCUUCGUAAGAAGUCAGGAGAGGCGUGUGAAAGUGCGUAGAGUCAUGGCGGCUAGGCUAGAAGCCAGUCGAUCUAUUCCUGAGCUAGAUGAAGGGGGGCGAAAGCCCCCUGGAGGUCUUAAGACGUUCUGACGUGCAAAUCGUUGUUGUGACUUGGGAAUAGGGGUCAAAAACCAAUCUAGACUGGCGCUCGCUAGUUCCAACCGAAGCGUCUCGCAGGGCGUGGUUUGUGGAGAUAGCGUUUCCGGUAGAGCACUGAUAGAAGGGCGCGGGGGAGAAAUCCCUCACCCUCCAUUCAAACUCCGAACGGAUACGCAUCGUAGAAGCAGGCACACGGGCUCAUGUGGCGUAAGGCUCAUGGCCGAAAGGGGUUUAACCCAGACUGAAGUUAAGGUCCCCAAAUUUUUGCUAAGUGUCAAGCGAAAGAGCGUGUUCUCGCCAAGACAGCAGGGAGGUAAGCUCAGAAGCAGCUAUCCUUUAAAAAAUGUGUAACAACUUACCUGCCGAGGGGGGAUGCCUCAAAAACGGACGGGGCUAAAGCAAAAUACCGAUACUUUAGAUAAUUAUCAUUAGAUAAUUCGUGGUAGGUUGGCGUAGUGAUUGGGUCGAAGCAGGGCGAUGACGUCCUGUGGACCGAUUUCUAUUGCAGAUCUUGGCGGCAGUAACAGCAUAGUAUUGUGAGAAACAAUACCACCGCAAGCGCAAGGGUUUCCAGGCAAUGCGUUAUCAGCCUGGAGGUAGUCGAUCCUAAGAUGUGCCUCAACAGAGUACAUCGAAUGGGAAAUCAGUUAAUAUUCUGAUACCUUGUAACAAUCGUUUGACCUAUAUGAUUCGCUUCCGGAUAAGGAGUGUACAACUAUCGUUGUAUCCAAGCAUUCGAGGAUUGGGGAGUGUCGUAAUGACGAGAACCUUUCCGAGGUGUAAGUGGCUUCGCGUUAGCGAAGUUUUCUUGAUUCCAGGAGACCAUGAAAGAUUGUGUAGUUAGAAAGUAACAAGUUCGUACCCAGAACCGACACAGGUGCGCUGGCUUAGAAAGCUAAGGUGCUACGGGUAUACCGUAUGGCGAGGGAAUUCGGCAAAUUAGUCCUGUAGCUUAGGUAUAAGGGAUGCCUGCGGGCUUCAUGAGGAAUGGGGUCCGCAGGUUGCAAUAACAAGGGGGUUCCGACUGUUUAAUAAAAACACAGGCGACUGCUAGUCCGAAAGGAUUUGUAUAGUCGCUGAAUCCUGGCCGGUGCCGGUACCUAAAACUUGGGUUCAACCGAGCUAAGGGCCGGUUAACGCCGGGAGUAACUCUGACUCUCUUAAGGUAGCCAAAUGCCUUGUCGGGUAAGUUCCGACGCGCAUGAAUGGAACAACGAGAGCCCCACUGUCCCCGCCUACAACCCGGUGAAGCCACAUAAGGUGGACGAACAGUCCAUCAACUUCCAUCGGGGAGAGAAGACCCCGUGGAGUUUUACUGCAGCUUGUGCUUGUGGUAUAGUAAGAAUUGCACAGUGUAUCUGGGAGCUAUGCUUAACAUUCCCCGGGAUGUUAAUGAAGCAACGAUGUAACACCAGACUCUUUUUGCAGUACCACUUAUCCAGUGAAGACCGGAGACACGUGCAGGUAGGCAGUUCGGCUGGGGCGGCACCCCUUUGAAAAGAUAUCAAAGGGGCCCAAAGUUGAGUUCAAACGGGGCAGAAAUCCGUUGAAGAGGGCAAAGCCAAAAACUCGACUGAAUGGAUUUCCAAACGCACGGAAUUCAUAGACGAAAGUCUGGCUUAGCGAUCCUUCGUGUGCCCACUAUU